GACGAACGCUGGCGGCGUGCUUAACACAUGCAAGUCGAACGGAAAGGCCCUGCUUUUGUGGGGUGCUCGAGUGGCGAACGGGUGAGUAACCCGUGAGUAACCUGCCCUUGACUUUGGGAUAACUUCAGGAAACUGGGGCUAAUACCGGAUAGGAGCUCCUGCUGCAUGGUGGGGGUUGGAAAGUUUCGGCGGUUGGGGAUGGACUCGCGGCUUAUCAGCUUGUUGGUGGGGUAGUGGCUUACCAAGGCUUUGACGGGUAGCCGGCCUGAGAGGGUGACCGGCCACAUUGGGACUGAGAGACGGCCCAGACUCCUACGGGAGGCAGCAGUGGGGAAUAUUGCACAAUGGGCGGAAGCCUGAUGCAGCAACGCCGCGUGCGGGAUGACGGCCUUCGGGUUGUAAACCGCUUUCGCCUGUGACGAAGCGUGAGUGACGGUAAUGGGUAAAGAAGCACCGGCUAACUACGUG
RNAcentral lists this ribosomal RNA (468 nucleotides) under uncultured bacterium. RNAcentral describes it as "partial 16S ribosomal RNA". It matches the Rfam family "Bacterial small subunit ribosomal RNA", at positions 28 to 507 of the family's 1533-position model. The record is from RNAcentral.